RNAcentral lists this ribosomal RNA (252 nucleotides) under uncultured bacterium. RNAcentral's name for it is "partial 16S ribosomal RNA". It matches the Rfam family "Bacterial small subunit ribosomal RNA", at positions 524 to 776 of the family's 1533-position model. The record is from RNAcentral.
UACGGGGGGGCAAGCGUUGUUCGGAUUCAUUGGGCGUAAAGGGCGCGUAGGCGGCGGGGUAAGUCGGGUGUGAAAUCUCAGAGCUCAACUCUGAAACUGCACUCGAUACUGCUCUGCUUGAGGACUGGAGAGGAGACUGGAAUUCACGGUGUAGCAGUGAAAUGCGUAGAUAUCGUGAGGAAGACCAGUGGCGAAGGCGGGUCUCUGGGCAACAACUGACGCUGAGGAGCGAAAGCGUGGGGAGCGAACAGG